This 466-nucleotide ribosomal RNA is filed under the name uncultured bacterium. RNAcentral's name for it is "partial 16S ribosomal RNA". It matches the Rfam family "Bacterial small subunit ribosomal RNA", at positions 339 to 795 of the family's 1533-position model. The record is from RNAcentral.
CUACGGGUCGCUGCAGUGGGGAAUAUUGGACAAUGGGGGAAACCCUGAUCCAGCAAUGCCGCGUGUGUGAAGAAGGCCUGCGGGUUGUAAAGCACUUUCGGUCGGGAGGACUGCUUCUAGCACUAAUAUUGUUGGAAGUUGACGUUACCUUCAGAAGAAGCACCGGCUAACUCCGUGCCAGCAGCCGCGGUAAUGACGGAGGGUGCAAGCGUUAAUCGGAAUUACUGGGCGUAAAGCGCGCGUAGGCGGCUAGAUCAGUCGGGUGUGAAAGCCCCGGGCUUAACCUGGGAACUGCAUCCGAUACUGUCUAGCUUGAGUACAGGAGAGGAGAGUGGAAUUCCACAUGUAGCGGUGAAAUGCGUAGAUAUGUGGAGGAACACCAAUGGCGAAGGCAGCUCUCUGGCCUGAUACUGACGCUGAGGUGCGAAAGCGUGGGGAGCAAACAGGAUUAGAUACCCCAGUAGUC